GUAAACGAUGAGUGCUAAGUGUUAGGGGGUUUCCGCCCCUUAGUGCUGCAGCUAACGCAUUAAGCACUCCGCCUGGGGAGUACGACCGCAAGGUUGAAACUCAAAGGAAUUGACGGGGGCCCGCACAAGCGGUGGAGCAUGUGGUUUAAUUCGAAGCAACGCGAAGAACCUUACCAGGUCUUGACAUCCUUUGACCACUCUGGAGACAGAGCUUUCCCUUCGGGGACAAAGUGACAGGUGGUGCAUGGUUGUCGUCAGCUCGUGUCGUGAGAUGUUGGGUUAAGUCCCGCAACGAGCGCAACCCUUGAUUUUAGUUGCCAGCAUUUAGUUGGGCACUCUAAAGUGACUGCCGGUGCAAGCCGGAGGAAGGUGGGGAUGACGUCAAAUCAUCAUGCCCCUUAUGACCUGGGCUACACACGUGCUACAAUGGAUAGUACAAAGGGUCGCGAAGCCGCGAGGUGGAGCUAAUCCCAUAAAACUAUUCUCAGUUCGGAUUGUAGGCUGCAACUCGCCUACAUGAAGCCGGAAUCGCUAGUAAUCGUGGAUCAGCAUGCCACGGUGAAUACGUUCCCGGGCCUUGUACACACCGCCCGUCACACCACGAGAGUUUGUAACACCCGAAGUCGGUAGGGUAACCUUUAUGGAGCCAGCCGCCGAAGGUGGGACAGAUAAUUGGGGUGAAGUCGUAACAAGGUAGCCGUAUCGGAAGGUGCGGCUGGAUCACCUCCUUUCUAAGGAA
This 739-nucleotide ribosomal RNA is filed under the name Listeria monocytogenes. RNAcentral describes it as "bacterial SSU rRNA". It matches the Rfam family "Bacterial small subunit ribosomal RNA", at positions 802 to 1533 of the family's 1533-position model. Lineage: Bacteria; Bacillati; Bacillota; Bacilli; Caryophanales; Listeriaceae. The record is from RNAcentral.